AAAUUUUUAGCAUUUUGGCCAUGUUACAUAUUACUUCAAGGCUAUGCAUGCAAAUGCUAAAAUUAUAUGUACUUGAUAAAUAUUGCUUUCGGUCAAACAUGAUCGUUCAGACAGAAUGGUUUUUCAUUACUGAACCUAGAUCCAAAAGAGUAUUGCAAAAGUUCUACAACUCCAGGUGAAAGAUAGCCAAACUAAAGAAGAAAUUAAGAAGUCAAGAGGGAGUUAAAAGAAGGGUAAAAUGAGAGAAAGUAGAGGGAAAGCUGGGAGACAACAAAUAAUAGAAAUAGAAGACACUAUGAGAUGGCACACUAUUCUUAUGAUCACUAUGAUGAUUAAAAAUGACCCUUAUUGCCACCAGGUAACAUAUCUCGUGGCAAUAGAACUUGACUAGCUGCUUGAAAUUUGAUGGCCGAGCCAAAGAAAGAAUAAUAAUCUUAUCAUUGGUCUCUUACCUCCAGAAUGAGUUCUUUUAUGCUAUUUGAAUACAUUAAUCUCUUUUAUCUCUAUGUUCAUUAUAAUUGCAUACGAGCUAACUCAAAUUCUAGUCUUCAGCAUUCUUUUUUGUGUUUUUUCUUUAGAUCGACUACUUUAAGAAAUGUUGUCUUAACAUCUUCUCUUUUACUUGGCAUUUUGUGAUAUUAGGCUAUCUUAGUCGUCUAAGUUUCUUGUUAUCACGUUGCUGCAG
RNAcentral lists this long non-coding RNA (685 nucleotides) under Musa acuminata (dwarf banana). Its description in RNAcentral is "long non-coding RNA (MACU_LNC006359)". The record is from RNAcentral. Lineage: Eukaryota; Viridiplantae; Streptophyta; Magnoliopsida; Zingiberales; Musaceae.